RNAcentral lists this non-coding RNA (355 nucleotides) under Geobacillus thermodenitrificans. Its description in RNAcentral is "T-box sequence". It matches the Rfam family "T-box leader". Rfam says of the family: Uncharged tRNA acts as the effector for transcription antitermination of genes in the T-box leader family. T-boxes are found upstream of many aminoacyl-tRNA synthetase genes and some amino acid biosynthetic genes usually in Gram-positive bacteria. Lineage: Bacteria; Bacillati; Bacillota; Bacilli; Caryophanales; Anoxybacillaceae. The record is from RNAcentral.
AAAAAAGCGAAGACGGGGAGGAGUACAACAGUUCGCUCCUGCAGAGAGGGAAAUCAUAAGCUGCGAGAUUUCCUAGGAUGUCGACUGUUGGAAGGUCGCCCUUGAGCUGCUUCGUUGAAAGGCGAAACCGCUGAGUAGGGGAAGCCGGCUUGAUGCCGUUAUGCUAAUGAAGUGCUUAAGCCUCUAGGAGACGGGUGAUUGAAAGGAGAAUGUCGUUGAAAGACGCAAGUCGAGAAACCUUGCGGCCGCUCCUGAUGGAAUAUUGCCCGAUGCUCGGAAAAUGGCACCUUUUCACCGUUCUUCUAGGCUUAAGAAAAAAGGUGGUACCGCGAAAGCAGCUCCUUUCGUCCUUUUU